GCUUUGGGGUGAAGGACCGUCGUGGAUAAAAAGAUUGGUAGUCCUUGCAAUCCCAGUAUCAGGAAAGGAGAGUCCAAGGUUGUUGAUACCGUGGACAUCGAAGAUCUUGGCAAUAAAGCUGUCUUCUGCCGUUGCUGGCGCAGUAGCAAGUUCCCAUAUUGUGACGGCACCCACAAUGGACAUAAUGUUGCCUGUGGGGACAAUGUAGGACCCCUCAUCGUUAAGAAGAAGGAUUAAAGGAGCAAAUAGAAGUCUAUAGUGAGCACAUUAGAACCAUCUCCCUGGCACAGUGAGCUAUAAAGACAUAGCAGCCUGUAGUGAUUAUAAUCUAUUACAAUACAGUAUACUAUAAUACCCAC
Molecule: long non-coding RNA, 359 nt
Organism: Penaeus monodon (black tiger shrimp)
Lineage: Eukaryota; Metazoa; Arthropoda; Malacostraca; Decapoda; Penaeidae
Exons: 3
Source: RefSeq, a predicted model, not a curated record